UACGUAGGUGGCAAGCGUUAUCCGGAUUUAUUGGGCGUAAAGGGAACGCAGGCGGUCUUUUAAGUCUGAUGUGAAAGCCUUCGGCUUAACCGGAGUAGUGCAUUGGAAACUGGGAGACUUGAGUGCAGAAGAGGAGAGUGGAACUCCAUGUGUAGCGGUGAAAUGCGUAGAUAUAUGGAAGAACACCAGUGGCGAAAGCGGCUCUCUGGCCUGUAACUGACGCUGAGGUUCGAAAGCGUGGGUAGCAAACAGG
RNAcentral lists this ribosomal RNA (253 nucleotides) under uncultured bacterium. RNAcentral describes it as "partial 16S ribosomal RNA". It matches the Rfam family "Bacterial small subunit ribosomal RNA", at positions 524 to 776 of the family's 1533-position model. The record is from RNAcentral.